UAUCUCUGUAGAGUCUGCAUAUCAAUAAGCGGAGGAAAAGAAACUAACAUAGGAUUCCCUCUAGUAACGGCGAGUGAAGCGGGAAGAGCUCAAAUUUGAAAUCUUCAAGGUUCUACCUUGACGAAUUGUAGUUUAAAGAAGUGAUUUCUGUUGAAGUUUUGGUAAAAGUUCUUUGGAAUAGGACAUCAUAGAGGGUGAGAAUCCCGUAUUUGACCAGUUACUUUCCAGCUUGUGUGAUACACUUUCAAAGAGUCGGAUUGUUUGGGAAUGCAGUCCAAAAUGGGUGGUAAAUUUCAUCUAAAGCUAAAUAUUGGCGAGAGACCGAUAGCUGAACAAGUACCGUGAGGGAAAGAUGAAAAGAACUUUGAAAAGAGAGUUAAACAGUACGUGAAAUUGUCAAAGGGAAGCGUUUGACACCAGUCGUUGUUUUCUCGAAAAUCAAUUAAAAAUGGCAGGAUUUUGUGUUGUAUUGACUUUAUCAGCUUUCUGCACUUUUUUCUUGUCUUUUUUAAUGCACUUUUCGUUUAACAAGUCAACAUCAAUUUCUUUUGCUGUAAAAGAGUCAUUGGAAGGUGGCCUUCACUUUCGGAUGAAAGUGUUUAUAGCCUUUGACUUCUGCAAUCGGAGAGAUUGAGGUCUGCAGCGUAGAUCCUUCGGGGUUAGAUACAUUUGUGCUAAGCUAUAGCCUUUUCAUAGACUACUUGUUGACUAUAUUCAGUCAUGUAGGCUUACUCGCUUAUGCUAUUUUACCUACGCUUAGGAUGUUGAGUAGCGACAUACGCAC
Molecule: ribosomal RNA, 784 nt
Filed under: uncultured Neocallimastigales
Lineage: Eukaryota; Fungi; Neocallimastigomycota; Neocallimastigomycetes; Neocallimastigales
Description: partial large subunit ribosomal RNA
Rfam family: Eukaryotic large subunit ribosomal RNA
Source: RNAcentral